This 379-nucleotide long non-coding RNA is filed under the name Nicotiana tabacum (common tobacco). RNAcentral describes it as "long non-coding RNA (NTAB_LNC017060)". Lineage: Eukaryota; Viridiplantae; Streptophyta; Magnoliopsida; Solanales; Solanaceae. The record is from RNAcentral.
UCCUCCCAUACCUCACCAUCCAUCCCUCGUGCACCACCUUCGACGACAUAUAUAAUUCCAACUUAUCCUGUAUUCCUCUGCGAGCUGAUCCCCACAAUUCACUCUCUAAACUGCACAUAAAAACAUAGUUGUCAGAGAAUUACGUGUUUGAUAUGACAGAAGUCAUUUUUCAUGUCGAAAUUACUUACUUUUGCCAACUUAAUGAACACUAUGCGACUACAUCCAUCAUUUUCUCAAUAACUUUAGCACCAAAUAAAGAAAACUUUAUGAUCUUCAUGCAUGCAUGCAUGUAAUAUGAAUAUAUGUAUGUAUAGGUAGAGAAGGAGGAGGUGCAAGGGUAAAAGGGUGAGAGUGGCUACAAGUGAAAGGUGUAUAGAAG